This 431-nucleotide ribosomal RNA is filed under the name Rhizobiales bacterium ltg2. Its description in RNAcentral is "bacterial LSU rRNA". It matches the Rfam family "Bacterial large subunit ribosomal RNA", at positions 61 to 491 of the family's 2925-position model. RNAcentral also lists the same sequence under 4 other names. Lineage: Bacteria; Pseudomonadati; Pseudomonadota; Alphaproteobacteria; Hyphomicrobiales. The record is from RNAcentral.
GUACGCUGCGAUAAGCCUUGGGGAGCUGCGAACGAGCUUUGAUCCAAGGAUCUCCGAAUGGGGAAACCCCCCUUCGAUCCUUUGUCUUGUGACGGCAUCAGCGAUGGUGGUGUUGCAAGACGGAGGGUCAGAUGAAGGGAUUAGGCCCUGAAUAGAUAGGGGUUUAAGGCGAACCCGGGGAACUGAAACAUCUAAGUACCCGGAGGAAAGGACAUCAAACGAGACUCCGUUAGUAGUGGCGAGCGAACGCGGACCAGGCCAAUGCCAACCUGAUCGUCAUCGGAACCGUCUGGAAAGGCGGGCAUCACCGGGUGACAGCCCCGUACGAAGCAGCGUGAUGGUUGGAUUUGAGUAGGGCGGGACACGUGCAAUCCUGUCUGAACAUGGGGGGACCACCCUCCAAGCCUAAGUACUCCUCAGCGACCGAUAGU